RNAcentral lists this ribosomal RNA (478 nucleotides) under uncultured bacterium. RNAcentral describes it as "partial 16S ribosomal RNA". It matches the Rfam family "Bacterial small subunit ribosomal RNA", at positions 28 to 507 of the family's 1533-position model. The record is from RNAcentral.
GAUGAACGCUGGCGGCGUGCUUAACACAUGCCAGUCGAACGGGAAAUAUUUCAUUGAGACUUCGGUGGAUUUGAUUUAUUUCUAGUGGCGGACGGGUGAGUAACGCGUGGGUAACCUGCCUUAUACAGGGGGAUAACAGUCAGAAAUGGCUGCUAAUACCGCAUAAGCGCACAGAGCUGCAUGGCUCAGUGUGAAAAACUCCGGUGGUAUAAGAUGGACCCGCGUUGGAUUAGCUAGUUGGUGGGGUAACGGCCCACCAAGGCGACGAUCCAUAGCCGGCCUGAGAGGGUGAACGGCCACAUUGGGACUGAGACACGGCCCAGACUCCUACGGGAGGCAGCAGUGGGGAAUAUUGCACAAUGGGGGAAACCCUGAUGCAGCGACGCCGCGUGAAGGAAGAAGUAUCUCGGUAUGUAAACUUCUAUCAGCAGGGAAGAUAGUGACGGUACCUGACUAAGAAGCCCCGGCUAACUACGUG